Molecule: ribosomal RNA, 120 nt
Organism: Pteropus vampyrus (large flying fox)
Lineage: Eukaryota; Metazoa; Chordata; Mammalia; Chiroptera; Pteropodidae
Source: Ensembl
GUCUACGGCCAUGCCACUCUGAAUGUGCCCAAUCCUGACUGAUCUUGGAAGCUAAGCAGGGUUGGGCCUGGUUAGUACUUGAAUGGGAGACCGCCUAGGAAUACUGGGUGCUGCAAGGCA